AACAGGGAUUAUUUUUUUCUGUCUCAUCCUGUGGUCAUCGCGUACCAAAAGCACCCUUAGAUAACCGAUCGUGUCCAGGUUUGAUCAUGUUUCCAGGUAAUCAAAGAUUGAGUGAUUGCGCUUCGUAUGGACUGAUUACUACGCGCCUAGAAGAGGCUUAUUAAUUUAUGAACAAGUGCAUGGAUCAUUGCUUGUUUCUGGUAUCGCGUGUGUAGAAAGUGUUGUUCAUUACUUUUUCAUAAUUGUUACAGUAGAUUUCACUCGCCAGAUUCAGACAGAGGCUUGACUCGAAAGUCUGGUUUCAGGCAUGAUUUUGGCGGUCUGAAACUUGUUGUGUUGAAGGUUAUAUAACACAUGGAGAGGUGGGAAGAAAUGACUGUUCAUUACAAAGGCUGCGAUAUUUCUAAGCAACAAAUCUAUCAUUUCCACACACACGAGAAUCGUCAAUCUAUGGUGUGGAAUUGCUGAAGGCUCUCAAAGAAGCCAUAACCGCAUACACCUGAAUCUGAAUGUUUUCUUCACUGUAGUAAUUUUUGGUAUUUCUGUCUAUUAGAUCGUCUCCAUUUUGUCACAACGGUCAUGUGUUCAUCAUCCAUAGUGUCCAGGUUUUCAAAUAAGAUAUGCAGCCUCUCCCGCCACGGGUUCAGCUCUGCAAGAUCUCCGAGGACUUGAAGGCCUACAAGGGCAACAACCCCAAAAAGCCUCUUCUUAUGGCCAUUAAGGGUCAAUCAAAACAGGCAAAAGCAUAAUUCAUAUGAAAUUGAUGAGAUUAUAGUUUUUCUUCCUCUGACUUGUGACACACUACUAAUACUUGUUGUAUUAGCUCAAGACAAUAGCACACACAAAAAAUGUGCAAUGAAAGUUUAAAAGAAAAUCUAGAAGGAAGAACACCAAGUGUAAGAGUUCAAGCUUCGAGUCUGAUUAGUGCAUCUCGCACUUCCAAUUCAGUCCGAGUUAGAAAAAGUCAGUCCUCCAGAAAGCCUCAGUGGUGGGUUGUGGCCAGCUCAACAUGCUGUCAAUCUUGCUAGUGCAUACAUCUUAAGCAUUUAUCAACCAUCUUUAAAAGAUGUCUGCUAAUACCACAAAUACAAGCACAGUCGCAAGCAACUCAAACUUAUCCCAAUUUACACUGCAAUCAGUUCUUGAUAAGGAAAAAACUGAUGAGACAAACUUCCUACGUGAAGAAUGUUAGAGGGAGCUACACCAUGACAAAUCUAUAGAGGAGGAUGGACGAAUGAAUUCAGGGAGGAAGUGAAGAAUGUUUUUUUUUCCGAAGGUGGUAUGGGAAAAAGGCUGACUGAAUGUAUAUGACUCUAAUUUAUGAGUUGAAGGAAUCAGCCCUUUAUUGGCCUAUUAAGCCAUUUAUUAACAUUUAUGUAUGGCCCUUCGCUUACUAAAUAAGCUAUACAUGUUAUAAAUUCUGUUUGAAACUUUGCUAAACUUAGUUUUAAAGAACCUGUGGGUAUUAAUUAAUGCAUCUCUGUAUG
This is a long non-coding RNA of Cynara cardunculus var. scolymus (artichoke), 1487 nucleotides long. RefSeq lists it as uncharacterized. NCBI's taxonomy places the organism in Eukaryota, Viridiplantae, Streptophyta, Magnoliopsida, Asterales, Asteraceae. The transcript has 7 exons. The record is from RefSeq and is a predicted model, not a curated record.